CAGAGAAUAGUUUAAUUAAAAUAUUAGUUUUGGAGGUUAAUGAUAGGAUAUCCUUUCUCUGA
This 62-nucleotide transfer RNA is filed under the name Dinoderus minutus. RNAcentral's name for it is "tRNA-Pro". The record is from RNAcentral. Lineage: Eukaryota; Metazoa; Arthropoda; Insecta; Coleoptera; Bostrichidae.